This 244-nucleotide long non-coding RNA is filed under the name Salvia miltiorrhiza (redroot sage). RNAcentral describes it as "long non-coding RNA (SMIL_LNC010820)". The record is from RNAcentral. Lineage: Eukaryota; Viridiplantae; Streptophyta; Magnoliopsida; Lamiales; Lamiaceae.
UUUUAAAAAUUAAUAUUUCAUUAAAAAUAGAUACCAACAUUACAUUAAUUAAAAUAAAAUAAAAUAUUUAAAACAUUACAUUGAUUAAAAUAAAAUAAAAUACUUAAUACAAAAUUAAAUUUAAACAAAAAGCUCAACAAAAAUUAAAUAGGACAACAAAAUUAAAUACAAAAAGCCCACACAAAUUGAACAAAAAUAGGGCAACUCUCUCUCCUCUUUCUCAACCUCAAGGAGCGCCUUCUUC